This 440-nucleotide ribosomal RNA is filed under the name uncultured bacterium. RNAcentral describes it as "partial 16S ribosomal RNA". It matches the Rfam family "Bacterial small subunit ribosomal RNA", at positions 338 to 795 of the family's 1533-position model. The record is from RNAcentral.
CCUACGUGAGGCUGCAGUGAGGAAUAUUGGGCAAUGGAGGAAACUCUGACCCAGCCAUGCCGCGUGCGUGAAGAAGGUUUUCGAAUUGUCAAGCUCUUUCGGAUGUGAAGAUGAUUACGGUAACCUCUAAAUACGCCACGACCACCUUCGUGCCAGCAGCCGCGGUAAUACGAAGGGGGCAAGCGUUGUUCGGAAUUACUGGGCGUAAAGGGUGUGUAGGCGGGAAAGUAAGAUAGUGGUGAAAUGCCUGAGCUCAACUUGGGAACUGCCAUUAUAACUAUUUUUCUAGAGUGACAGAGAGGAUAUUGGAAUACACAGUGUAGAGGUGAAAGUCGUAGAUAUUGGGUAGAACACCGGAGGCGAAGGCGAGUAUCUGGCUGUCAACUGACGCUGAGGCACGAAAGCAUGGGGAUCAAACAGGAUUAGAUACCCGAGUAGUC